Molecule: long non-coding RNA, 408 nt
Organism: Homo sapiens (human)
Lineage: Eukaryota; Metazoa; Chordata; Mammalia; Primates; Hominidae
Source: Ensembl
GAUGGUGCACAAGAAGGCUCUCGCCAGAUGCUGGUCUUGUGAUCUUGGACUUCCCAGCCUCCAGAACUGUUCUACUUGAAUCAUAGUUUCUUUGCUCCUGGGAGACCCCUGCUAUUCCCAGUGAUGCUGCGAACUGGGGUUCAAAGUGGGGUGGCCUGGUGAGGCCUAAAAUCCAUGUCCCGUGGAGAACUGCCUGCAUCCCUUACAGAACCUGCCACAUAUUUCUGCAGCUUCCAAGAGGAAGGCUGGAAUUUACUGAGCUUACUGAAGCCAAUUAUCCCAAGAGUAUGUGAUCCAGAAGCAAGAUAAAGAUCAAAAGGACUCAGCUGGGAUUUGGCCUUCUCCAAGUGGAAGGAAUAAAAUCUGCAAUUGGCUCUGAAAAUAAAAACCAAACAAAAUCUCAGGCAA